GAUUAAGUUAUUAAGGGCGCACGGUGGAUGCCUUGGCACUAGAAGCCGAUGAAGGACGUUACUAACGACGAUAUGCUUUGGGGAGCUGUAAGUAAGCUUUGAUCCAGAGAUUUCCGAAUGGGGAAACCCAGCAUGAGUUAUGUCAUGUUAUCGAUAUGUGAAUACAUAGCAUAUCAGAAGGCACACCCGGAGAACUGAAACAUCUUAGUACCCGGAGGAAGAGAAAGAAAAUUCGAUCCCCUUAGUAGCGGCGAGCGAAACGGGAAGAGCCCAAACCAACAAGCUUGCUUGUUGGGGUUGUAGGACACUCUAUACGGAGUUACAAAGGACGACAUUAGACGAAUCAUCUGGAAAGAUGAAUCAAAGAAGGUAAUAAUCCUGUAGUCGAAAAUGUUGUCUCUCUUGAGUGGAUCCUGAGUACGACGGAGCACGUGAAAUUCCGUCGGAAUCUGGGAGGACCAUCUCCUAAGGCUAAAUACUCUCUAGUGACCGAUAGUGAACCAGUACCGUGAGGGAAAGGUGAAAAGCACCCCGGAAGGGGAGUGAAAUAGAACCUGAAACCGUGUGCUUACAAGUAGUCAGAGCCCGUUAAUGGGUGAUGGCGUGCCUUUUGUAGAAUGAACCGGCGAGUUACGAUUUGAUGCAAGGUUAAGCAGUAAAUGUGGAGCCGUAGCGAAAGCGAGUCUGAAUAGGGCGUUUAGUAUUUGGUCGUAGACCCGAAACCAGGUGAUCUACCCUUGGUCAGGUUGAAGUUCAGGUAACACUGAAUGGAGGACCGAACCGACUUACGUUGAAAAGUGAGCGGAUGAACUGAGGGUAGCGGAGAAAUUCCAAUCGAACCUGGAGAUAGCUGGUUCUCUCCGAAAUAGCUUUAGGGCUAGCCUCAAGUGAUGAUUAUUGGAGGUAGAGCACUGUUUGGACGAGGGGCCCCUCUCGGGUUACCGAAUUCAGACAAACUCCGAAUGCCAAUUAAUUUAACUUGGGAGUCAGAACAUGGGUGAUAAGGUCCGUGUUCGAAAGGGAAACAGCCCAGACCACCAGCUAAGGUCCCAAAAUAUAUGUUAAGUGGAAAAGGAUGUGGCGUUGCCCAGACAACUAGGAUGUUGGCUUAGAAGCAGCCAUCAUUUAAAGAGUGCGUAAUAGCUCACUAGUCGAGUGACACUGCGCCGAAAAUGUACCGGGGCUAAACAUAUUACCGAAGCUGUGGAUUGUCCUUUGGACAAUGGUAGGAGAGCGUUCUAAGGGCGUUGAAGCAUGAUCGUAAGGACAUGUGGAGCGCUUAGAAGUGAGAAUGCCGGUGUGAGUAGCGAAAGACGGGUGAGAAUCCCGUCCACCGAUUGACUAAGGUUUCCAGAGGAAGGCUCGUCCGCUCUGGGUUAGUCGGGUCCUAAGCUGAGGCCGACAGGCGUAGGCGAUGGAUAACAGGUUGAUAUUCCUGUACCACCUAUAAUCGUUUUAAUCGAUGGGGGGACGCAGUAGGAUAGGCGAAGCGUGCGAUUGGAUUGCACGUCUAAGCAGUAAGGCUGAGUAUUAGGCAAAUCCGGUACUCGUUAAGGCUGAGCUGUGAUGGGGAGAAGACAUUGUGUCUUCGAGUCGUUGAUUUCACACUGCCGAGAAAAGCCUCUAGAUAGAAAAUAGGUGCCCGUACCGCAAACCGACACAGGUAGUCAAGAUGAGAAUUCUAAGGUGAGCGAGCGAACUCUCGUUAAGGAACUCGGCAAAAUGACCCCGUAACUUCGGGAGAAGGGGUGCUCUUUAGGGUUAACGCCCAGAAGAGCCGCAGUGAAUAGGCCCAAGCGACUGUUUAUCAAAAACACAGGUCUCUGCUAAACCGUAAGGUGAUGUAUAGGGGCUGACGCCUGCCCGGUGCUGGAAGGUUAAGAGGAGUGGUUAGCUUCUGCGAAGCUACGAAUCGAAGCCCCAGUAAACGGCGGCCGUAACUAUAACGGUCCUAAGGUAGCGAAAUUCCUUGUCGGGUAAGUUCCGACCCGCACGAAAGGCGUAACGAUUUGGGCACUGUCUCAACGAGAGACUCGGUGAAAUCAUAGUACCUGUGAAGAUGCAGGUUACCCGCGACAGGACGGAAAGACCCCGUGGAGCUUUACUGUAGCCUGAUAUUGAAAUUCGGCACAGCUUGUACAGGAUAGGUAGGAGCCUUUGAAACGUGAGCGCUAGCUUACGUGGAGGCGCUGGUGGGAUACUACCCUAGCUGUGUUGGCUUUCUAACCCGCACCACUUAUCGUGGUGGGAGACAGUGUCAGGCGGGCAGUUUGACUGGGGCGGUCGCCUCCUAAAAGGUAACGGAGGCGCUCAAAGGUUCCCUCAGAAUGGUUGGAAAUCAUUCAUAGAGUGUAAAGGCAUAAGGGAGCUUGACUGCGAGACCUACAAGUCGAGCAGGGUCGAAAGACGGACUUAGUGAUCCGGUGGUUCCGCAUGGAAGGGCCAUCGCUCAACGGAUAAAAGCUACCCCGGGGAUAACAGGCUUAUCUCCCCCAAGAGUUCACAUCGACGGGGAGGUUUGGCACCUCGAUGUCGGCUCAUCGCAUCCUGGGGCUGUAGUCGGUCCCAAGGGUUGGGCUGUUCGCCCAUUAAAGCGGUACGCGAGCUGGGUUCAGAACGUCGUGAGACAGUUCGGUCCCUAUCCGUCGUGGGCGUAGGAAAUUUGAGAGGAGCUGUCCUUAGUACGAGAGGACCGGGAUGGACAUACCUCUGGUGUACCAGUUGUCGUGCCAACGGCAUAGCUGGGUAGCUAUGUGUGGACGGGAUAAGUGCUGAAAGCAUCUAAGCAUGAAGCCCCCCUCAAGAUGAGAUUUCCCAACUUCGGUUAUAAGAUCCCUCAAAGAUGAUGAGGUUAAUAGGUUCGAGGUGGAAGCAUGGUGACAUGUGGAGCUGACGAAUACUAAUCGAUCGAAGACUUAAUCAA
Molecule: ribosomal RNA, 2923 nt
Filed under: Staphylococcus aureus
Lineage: Bacteria; Bacillati; Bacillota; Bacilli; Caryophanales; Staphylococcaceae
Description: 23S ribosomal RNA
Rfam family: Bacterial large subunit ribosomal RNA
Source: RNAcentral